This 253-nucleotide ribosomal RNA is filed under the name uncultured bacterium. RNAcentral describes it as "partial 16S ribosomal RNA". It matches the Rfam family "Bacterial small subunit ribosomal RNA", at positions 524 to 776 of the family's 1533-position model. The record is from RNAcentral.
UACGUAGGCAGCAAGCGUUGUUCGGAGUUACUGGGCGUAAAGGGUGCGUAGGCGGCCUUAUAAGUAUGGUGUGAAAUCUCCCGGCUUAACUGGGAGGGUGCGCUAUAGACUGUGGGGCUAGAGUGUGGGAGAGGAAAGUGGAAUUCCUGGUGUAGCGGUGAAAUGCGUAGAUAUCGGGAGGAACACCAGUGGCGAAGGCGAUCACCUGGGGUUGUUCUGACGCUGAGGAGCGAAAGCUAGGGGAGCAAACGGG